AAUAUGGGAUAAGAUCAGGCGGUCCUCCUUACGGCGGACGCGGCCGGGCCAUGCGCAGCGGUUCUUGGACCGCGGGACUAUA
Molecule: non-coding RNA, 82 nt
Filed under: Elusimicrobiota bacterium
Lineage: Bacteria; Pseudomonadati; Elusimicrobiota
Description: Elusimicrobia bacterium NiCo sequence
Rfam family: NiCo (Nickel/Cobalt) riboswitch aptamer
Source: RNAcentral